RNAcentral lists this ribosomal RNA (253 nucleotides) under uncultured bacterium. RNAcentral's name for it is "partial 16S ribosomal RNA". It matches the Rfam family "Bacterial small subunit ribosomal RNA", at positions 524 to 776 of the family's 1533-position model. The record is from RNAcentral.
UACAGAGGUCUCAAGCGUUGUUCGGAUUCAUUGGGCGUAAAGGGUGCGUAGGCGGUGGGGCAAGUCAGGUGUGAAAUCCCGGAGCUCAACUCCGGAACUGCACUUGAUACUGCCUUGCUAGAGUACUGGAGAGGAGACUGGAAUUUACGGUGUAGCAGUGAAAUGCGUAGAUAUCGUAAGGAAGACCAGUGGCGAAGGCGAGUCUCUGGACAGUUACUGACACUGAGGCACGAAGGCCAGGGGAGCAAACGGG